RNAcentral lists this ribosomal RNA (459 nucleotides) under uncultured bacterium. Its description in RNAcentral is "partial 16S ribosomal RNA". It matches the Rfam family "Bacterial small subunit ribosomal RNA", at positions 338 to 795 of the family's 1533-position model. The record is from RNAcentral.
CCUACGGGCGGCAGCAGUGAGGAAUAUUGGUCAAUGGCCGAGAGGCUGAACCAGCCAAGUCGCGUGAGGGAAGACGGCCCUACGGGUUGUAAACCUCUUUUGUCGGGGAGCAAAGAGAGUCACGUGUGACUCAUUGAGAGUACCCGAAGAAAAAGCAUCGGCUAACUCCGUGCCAGCAGCCGCGGUAAUACGGAGGAUGCGAGCGUUAUCCGGAUUUAUUGGGUUUAAAGGGUGCGCAGGGGGGGGUGCAAGUCAGCGGUCAAAUUGCGGGGCUCAACCCCGUACUGCCGUUGAAACUACAUGCCUUGAGUGCGCGAGAGGUAUGCGGAAUGCGUGGUGUAGCGGUGAAAUGCAUAGAUAUCACGCAGAACUCCGAUUGCGAAGGCAGCAUACCGGCGCGCAACUGACGCUCAUGCACGAAAGCGUGGGUAUCGAACAGGAUUAGAUACCCUUGUAGUC